ACCGGAGACUGGGUGCAUAUUCACCUGCUGAGCAUCGUCCUCCUGCCCCCUCACGAUGUCCCUCCCAGACCUGGAAAUGCAGGGACCCUGGGGCGUAAACGCCACUGAGGAGCUUACGAUGAAACCAACACCUUUGUGCUUCAGGAAGACGCGGGCCCUAGAGCAGAAAUAACCGAAGCCCCACGUUCCAGUCGCGGGAUGCGUGAUGCGGGAGGGAGAUGGAUGGACUGAGCCAGAUGGACAAGGGUUUUCAGACUUGCCAGGUUUAUUUUGCCCUCAGCACCCAGCAUCCUUCCCUGAGCGGCCGGAGAGAACGGCGGGGGAUGCGGAUGAGGCACCCAGGCUUCAGUGUAAAGGUUCGACCACUUCCCGGAGCCUCGGUUCACCGUGUUGGUGUUUCCAGAACCAUCUCCUGGCUCCCACUCCCCUGCCCCUUGCCCUACAGCACCCACAGGCGCACCCUUGCUGCUGAGGAGCCUGGGCCGUCCGUGCUCCUCCCCAAAGCCUGCAUUCACCAGAUGCCAACUUCGCGGCAGAAUCCCGGAGCCUGACUGUGGACCAGGCGCAGAAACCCCGGAUGUCGUCCUUCCCUCUGGGCGCCGGGCCGGGGCCUCAGGUGCAUGUGCACACUCGCUGGGAAGCUGCUGAAGGGCGGUUUCUCCGCUCAGAACUCGAGGAAACGCCCGGCCCUGUGGCGGCAGAAGCACCGGCCGCCCCGGCCCUCCCGCUGCCCGGCUGGGCCGCUGCUGUCCCCCGUCCCCGGGAAGGUCUGUCCCGAGGCGGAGCCGGUGUGGCGGGUCGCUGCUUUCGUGAGAUGCUCCGAGACAGCCACGGCCAAAGGCAAAAUACAUGGGAAAGGCUGCGGACUCCGCCGCACCCGCGGCCUUUGGGAGAUAACGUGGCGAAAGAGCAUUUUUUAAAAAACCCCCUGGCAACUUUUUUUUCCGGCAUUUUUAACCCCGGUGCUUUCUGAGGCGAUAUCGAUUAACAACCAGCAGAGGCAGAGCCUCGGAAGACACGCGCUGGAAGGCGCUGCCGGCGACCAGGCGCGGCAGGUGGCGGAGGCGGGAAGGAGGAAGCGGUUCUGGGGGCGCGUCCCUCGCAGGGGUUGCAGCACGUGCCAGGUGGGGGGAACCCACGUGGGACAGGAAACCCCAGGUCCUGAAAAGGUGGCACCGCCUCCUGACAGAACCCGAGCAGCCGUCAAGGGUAACUGGUGCCGCGUGGGGCAGGUGGCUCCGUUUGACAAGAGCUAAGAUGGCUGAGAAGACCAAGAAAAUCCCAAAUCGAAAGAAACAGGACCACCGUCCACGAAGACAUUAGCUGCCUCUUCACACAGACAAGAGGUGAACUCUUUCGGGGCGGCCCCUCGGCCCCUCGGUCCAUCCCUCGAAGCUCCUUUCGCGUUCUCACCACCAUCCAGACAAACUCCCCGUCUGGGUCCCGAGAACUCCCAGGCCGCGGUGUUUCCAGCAAGUGCAGGGUGGGGCGCAGGAUAGACGCCACGGUGUGUGUCUGCGGCGCACAAUCUGCUGUUCCAACCCGCGGACGUGUCCCUUGCAUCUGCCACCACAAAGUCAUGACCGUACCCACCCCUCCCGAAAUAUGCUUGCAUUCCGGCAAUUUCUCCUCCCCUACCCCCUCUCCCCCGCUGCUGGUCCUGAGGAAACCGUGGGUCUGUUUCUGUGGCUGAAACAUCAUUUGCAUUUUGUGCGGAGUUGCGUCCUAGGGACUCUCGGUCGGACUUCUUCCACUGGUUUUCAGCAUGAUAAUUUGGAGAUUCAUCAGCGCGGCAGCACGCGUUCAUACCUGGUUUUACUUCCGGUGAGCGUGCCAUGGGGAGGUUAUCCGUUCCUCUGUCGGCGACACCGAGGCUGUUUCCAGUACUUGGCUUUUACAAAUAGGGUUGCUAUGAACAGGUGUAUGCAGGGCUUUGACCAGGUACACGUCUUCGUUUCACUGGGUUAAACGCCUAGGAUGAAAAACACAGCAGGUUUUGCAUGUAUUCGUCUUUAAGAAACUUGCAGGCUGUGUUCCAGAGGAACAGCUACUUGAGUGCCCACCAGCACACGGAAGAGUUCCAGUCGCUUCACCGCCUCACCCACACUGGGUGUGGUGGGUCUGUUGGGCGUGAGCACUGUCUAGGGUGGGGUGUGCGCUCCCCGUAGUUUUCGCCUGUGUUUGCCGUGACGACCAAUGCCACCGACACCCUAAUUUGAAAGACCUGUGCUGUCUUUGGGGAAGUGUCUGCUCAGCCACCUGGUCUACUUUCAGCUGGCUCUUUCUCUCCCGACUAAUGGGUGUUCAGUGGCCUGUCUGUUCUGAGUACGGUCCUGGUGAGAUGCAGGCUUUUGAGGUGUCUUCUGCCGCUCUUCCACCCCCUUGACGUUUUCCUUCAAAGGCUUCUCCCUCGGCUCAGUUCUGCGGCGGUGACGUCCAGGAGGCCGCAUGCAGACCCCAGGUCAGCCAGGUGCCACUCUCUCCCGGCUUUCUGAGGUUCGGAGCCUCCAGGGGGCCUUGCAGCUCUGUGCAUGUGAGGGUGACAGCCUGGGUCCCCUCGCUCAGCAGAGGGGAAAACGCCGAAGUGCUGGGAGAGGAGAAGCAACGCUGAGUGACUGAGGGAGCCAGGGUUUGCAGCAAUGGGAACUGUCAGGAAUGUGCUCUCUUAAUGCAGAAGUGGAAUCGAUCCCGGGCCUGGCCCGCAGCAGGCAAAGAGGCCUCCUUCCUGGAGGGGCACGGGAGCGCGAGCGAGGCCAAGGCGGUGCAGGUGGGAGGGUGGGCUCACCGUGACAUCUGUACUCGGAGUCCCCGGAGCCCUCCGGGUGCUAGGGCGAGUUCAGGGGUCUCUCCCCGUCCCUCGCUGACCCCCAGGAGCCCUUCCAGAGCCGCAGGCUCCCAUCCAAGGGGAAGCGCUUCCUAGACGAAAACGACUCUCCCAUAGAGCGCGCGUUCCAAAGUGGUCAUUAGAGAGCAUGGAAAACUCCUCCUGGAAAGAGCUGGAAAGUUCUCAUGGAAACUAAGUUGGACUCGCACAUUGGAAAUCAGUCACCUGCGAUAUUUAAAAAUGAAGCUAAGCUGUCUGAGUGUACAUUUCAGAAAUGCAGCUGGAGCUGCCCAAUAAAAAUAUUUAAAACAU
RNAcentral lists this long non-coding RNA (3136 nucleotides) under Sus scrofa (pig). Its description in RNAcentral is "lncRNA (ENSSSCG00030070259.1)". Lineage: Eukaryota; Metazoa; Chordata; Mammalia; Artiodactyla; Suidae. The record is from RNAcentral.